Molecule: long non-coding RNA, 233 nt
Filed under: Marmota monax (woodchuck)
Lineage: Eukaryota; Metazoa; Chordata; Mammalia; Rodentia; Sciuridae
Source: RNAcentral
GGUAGGAUGUGGCUGGAGGAGGUGAGAAUUAGGGGUGUGACUUUGGAGUAUGUAUUUUUGUCUGGCAAAUGGAGGCAUCUCUGCUUUCUGAUCAUCAUGUGAGCUGCUUCCCUCUGCCACAGUCUUCCGCCAUGAUAUUCUGCCUCACCUGGAGCCCCAAGAAAUGGAGCCGACCUUCUAUGGACUAAGACCUCUGAAACUGUGAGCCCCUCAAAUAAACUUUUCUUCCCUAA